UAAAGCGCACGCAGGCGGUCUGUCAAGUCGGAUGUGAAAUCCCCGGGCUCAACCUGGGAACUGCAUUCGAAACUGGCAGGCUUGAGUCUUGUAGAGGGGGGUAGAAUUCCAGGUGUAGCGGUGAAAUGCGUAGAGAUCUGGAGGAAUACCGGUGGCGAAGGCGGCCCCCUGGACAAAGACUGACGCUCAGGUGCGAAAGCGUGGGGAGCAAACAGGAUUAGAUACCCUGGUAGUCCACGCCGUAAACGAUGUCUACUUGGAGGUUGUGCCCUUGAGGCGUGGCUUCCGGAGCUAACGCGUUAAGUAGACCGCCUGGGGAGUACGGCCGCAAGGUUAAAACUCAAAUGAAUUGACGGGGGCCCGCACAAGCGGUGGAGCAUGUGGUUUAAUUCGAUGCAACGCGAAGAACCUUACCUGGUCUUGACAUCCACGGAAGUUUUCAGAGAUGAGAAUGUGCCUUCGGGAAC
This 467-nucleotide ribosomal RNA is filed under the name Salmonella enterica subsp. enterica serovar Paratyphi B. RNAcentral describes it as "bacterial SSU rRNA". It matches the Rfam family "Bacterial small subunit ribosomal RNA", at positions 561 to 1027 of the family's 1533-position model. The record is from RNAcentral. Lineage: Bacteria; Pseudomonadati; Pseudomonadota; Gammaproteobacteria; Enterobacterales; Enterobacteriaceae.